CGGUGCGAUCAUACCAGCACUAAGCCCCGGUUCCAUCAGAACUCCGCGUUAAACGUGCUUGGCGAGAGUAGUACUAGGAUGGGUUCCCUGGGAAAGUCCUCGUGUUUGCACCCU
Molecule: ribosomal RNA, 114 nt
Filed under: Salix viminalis (osier)
Lineage: Eukaryota; Viridiplantae; Streptophyta; Magnoliopsida; Malpighiales; Salicaceae
Source: RNAcentral